AAGUCGUAACAAGGUUUCCGUAGGUGAACCUGCGGAAGGAUCAUUACUGAGUUGCUGACAAGAGUUGUUGCUGGUCCCCUCAGAUGGGGAGACAUGUGCACGCUCUGUCUGUACAUCCACUCACACCUGUGCACCCUCUGUAGUUCUAUGGCUGGGGGGAUUUCUGUCCUCCUUCUGUGGUUCUGCAUCUUUACACACACUCACUGUAUCAAAGUCUCAUGGAAUGUAUGCCGUGAUUAACGCAAUACAAUACAACUUUCAGCAACGGAUCUCUUGGCUCUC
This 282-nucleotide unclassified non-coding RNA is filed under the name air metagenome. Its description in RNAcentral is "partial contains small subunit ribosomal RNA, internal transcribed spacer 1, and 5.8S ribosomal RNA". The stretch from base 1 to 46 matches the Rfam family "Eukaryotic small subunit ribosomal RNA", at positions 1786 to 1831 of the family's 1831-position model. The record is from RNAcentral.